This 496-nucleotide long non-coding RNA is filed under the name Pan troglodytes (chimpanzee). Its description in RNAcentral is "long non-coding RNA NONPTRT017992". Lineage: Eukaryota; Metazoa; Chordata; Mammalia; Primates; Hominidae. The record is from RNAcentral.
GGAAACUUGCAAGCGAGACAGCAGGGAGUGUCAUUAGCGAUGUAACAGGCCGACCUGUUUGGUCCGGGAACGUAACCGCUCAAAAUGGCUCUCGCAGACCGGCCAGGACAGGUCUGCGGCCCCGCGCGAGGAGACACGGUGGACCUACCGUUCAGGACCGAGGACCCGCACCCCAGGACCCCACCUAGCGAGCCGCAGCCUGGCUGCCUCGGGUUGGGACAGCACGCCCUGCACACAGACUCAAGCGGCCCUCCGGGACCUGCGCAGGUGGCGUCGCCCGGCGUUGUCUCCGGAGUCGAUUCCGGCCGGGGCACCUCCCCGGGCGACCAGGCCCCUUCUUGAUCAUCGCUGGUACGGAUGAGAGCGGCAGUGGGCAUUUGGAAAGCACCUGGGGCCGCGCCCGGGCGCAGUGCCCCCGUGUGGCCUCCCACCCCGGGCGGGCAGGACGAUUCCUGCCCAUUUGGAAGACCAGGAACCUGCGCGUUCACAGGGUUCG